This 460-nucleotide ribosomal RNA is filed under the name uncultured bacterium. RNAcentral's name for it is "partial 16S ribosomal RNA". It matches the Rfam family "Bacterial small subunit ribosomal RNA", at positions 338 to 795 of the family's 1533-position model. The record is from RNAcentral.
CCUACGGGAGGCAGCAGUGAGGAAUAUUGGUCAAUGGACGAGAGUCUGAACCAGCCAAGUAGCGUGAAGGAUGACUGCCCUAUGGGUUGUAAACUUCUUUUAUAAAGGAAUAAAACGAGGCACGUGUGCCCUUUUGCAUGUACUUUAUGAAUAAGGAUCGGCUAACUCCGUGCCAGCAGCCGCGGUAAUACGGAGGAUCCGAGCGUUAGCCGGAUUUAUUGGGUUUAAAGGGAGCGUAGAUGGGGUGUUAAGUCAGUUGUGAAAGUUUGCGGCUCAACCGUAAAAUUGCAAUUGAUACUGGCAGUCUUGAGUACAGGUGAGGAAAGCGGAAUUCGUGGUGUAGCGGUGAAAUGCUUAGAUAUCACGAAGAACCCCGAUUGCGAAGGCAGCUUACUAAACUGUGACUGACAUUGAUGCUCGAAAGUGUGGGUAUCAAACAGGAUUAGAUACCCUAGUAGUC